UACAAAUACUUGUUCCGGUUUUUGUCGUACUAUCAUGAAGUAGAUCGGUCUGUCUCCUAAUCAUUGUUCACGGCUUGAUCUUGGUCUUCUUGAAAUAUCUAGUAUUUCUCGUAUUGUUUAAAAUUUUGGCGUAAAUUUAUUCAGACGUAGAUACAUUUCUAUUAAAUUGUGCAUUCCAUCUAACAUUUUGCAGUUUUGCAAUAGUCUAAUUCUAAUUCUAAUUGUCUAAUUUCAAGUUAGUUAAGGUCUUGUUCAAGACUUUUGGUCGCACCAGAUGAGUUAUGUACGAGGUACUGUACUCAUAGAGUAAUUUCAGAUAAGGUACACCGUCUGUUCGUCACGUUAUCUUAUUUUAGGCCGGAUAGUGAGUUAGUUUUUAGGUUUAACUCAUAGAGUAAUUUCGGAUACGGUACACCGUCUGCUCGUCACGCUAUCUUAUUUUCGGCCGGAUAGAUUCGUGCAACUUCUUAGUCUAAUACCGAUCCUAAUCUUACUCUUAUAUCUACUAGUCUCAGGGUGUUUAACUAGUCUCUGCUACGCUCAAUAGAUCUAGAGUAUACUGGCUUAUUGUGAUUGCUAAAGUUCUCUUGGAGAGGUAACUAAUUCCUAAGUUAAAUUCAAAUCUCUCUGGUGCUGAAAUUACUAGUAAUUUCAGCACUUACAAAUAAGUGGGUUGUUAGUUAGAUGGAUCGUGAUUGGUUAAUAUUAAAUAUUUUAUAGAGACAGGAUAUCCAAUUUAUAACCAAUAAUAAAUAUAGUUUAUAUCUGGUUCCAAUAGGUUCGUGCAUUAAACUAUUUCCAAUCUUAAUUUUACUCUUAUAUCUCCUAGUCUCAAAAGAUCUAGUGUAUACUGGUUUUUGCGAGUUAGUUCUUGAAGUUUAUCAGAAAGAGAACAACUGAAGUCUAAGAUUUAUUCAAGUUGUUCUGGUGCUGAGACUACAAGUAGUUUCAGCACUUACAAAUAAUUGUCAAUCUUGGUGAUGGAAUAUGAUUGGUUAGUUAGUAAUACUUUUUAGAGAUAGUUUUAUCAAUUUUAUACUUGGUUUAUAAAUACUAGUUUAGAAUUUAUCAUUGGUCUGGUUCUAUUACCUCCGCAGAACUUGGUCCGUUCCAUUACCUCAUUGGUCUGUUCCAUUACCUCCGCAGAACCGCGCUGAACUGGUUCCAUUACCUUCGAGUUAUUACUGUGGCAUUUACCUGGAAAACACGCUUUAUUCACGCUCAUUUUUGGAUUUUGCUGAACAAAUAACUUUAGGAGACGUGACCAAAAUGAAGAUGUACACUAUAUUGGGCGGGUUCUUUUUCAAGUGUGAUCUAACUUUUUUCAUUCCCACGAACCAUCUUGUGAGCUUCACCAAACCGCAGCCUCCUCAUCUGAUGGCCAAAUACAGAUCAUCUAUUCUAAUGCAUCGGGGCAUCAAAAUCAAGGAAAACGAAGCAGGGACUAAGAAAGAACCUCUACCGGAGGACCAAAUUCUGAUGACAGUUUUUCCGCAACCACAGUACCAGUUUGAAGGUUUCUCACCAACGGAUUUUCUGACGUGUCGCACGAUGACCCCCUGCUGCUCUACUUUUACUUCUUGUCAUUUCACAUCUUGACUCGGAACUGAAACGUCGUUUUUCCGAAAAACUGGUGCAAACUGACAGAUUCCAGUUCAAAAACUGGACAGUUUCUGCAGGGAAGUUCAGCCGAACCAGCCAACAGUCCUUCAAAUCUGACUCAGAUGAUGAGCACAGUUGAUUAGCGUCUAGAUCCGGAAAUGAACUUGAUCCCAGCUAUGAAGACAUUCUGCCUGCAAUCAUCAAAACUGCCCCUGUACUCCAAAAAAGAAGAAAUAUUUGGGGAAAGAGCUAGAUUCAGUCUUUAUUCGAAUGAGUUAUUUGAACAUUUGACUGUAACUUUUUUUCUUAAAAUUAGUUUUAUCUAGUUGUUUUGGAACUUUUGCGUAAUCCCAACUUAAC
Molecule: long non-coding RNA, 1962 nt
Organism: Symsagittifera roscoffensis
Lineage: Eukaryota; Metazoa; Xenacoelomorpha; Acoela; Convolutidae
Exons: 3
Source: RefSeq, a predicted model, not a curated record